GUGAGGAAUAUUGGUCAAUGGGCGAGAGCCUGAACCAGCCAAGUCGCGUGAAGGAUGAAGGUUUUAUGAAUUGUAAACUUCUUUUGCAGGGGAAUAAAGUACGGUACGUGUACCGUUUUGUAUGUACUCUGCGAAUAAGGAUCGGCUAACUCCGUGCCAGCAGCCGCGGUAAUACGGAGGAUCCAAGCGUUAUCCGGAUUUAUUGGGUUUAAAGGGUGCGCAGGCGGGUUGAUAAGUCAGCGGUGAAAGUUUGCAGCUUAACUGUAAAAUUGCCGUUGAAACUGUCGAUCUUGAGUGCAAAUGAGGUAAGCGGAAUGUGUUGUGUAGCGGUGAAAUGCUUAGAUAUAACACAGAACACCGAUUGCGAAGGCAGCUUACUGGGAUGCAACUGACGCUCAUGCACGAAAGCGUGGGGAUCAAACAGGAUUAGAAACCCUUGUAGUCC
This 445-nucleotide ribosomal RNA is filed under the name uncultured bacterium. Its description in RNAcentral is "partial 16S ribosomal RNA". It matches the Rfam family "Bacterial small subunit ribosomal RNA", at positions 354 to 796 of the family's 1533-position model. The record is from RNAcentral.